CCUACGGGGGGCAGCAGUGAGGAAUAUUGGUCAAUGGUAGGGAGACUGAACCAGCCAAGCCGCGUGAGGGAGGACGGUACAGAGUAUCGUAAACCUCUUUUGUCAGGGAACAAAAACUGGGACGCGUCCCCGGCUGCGUGUACCUGAAGAAAAAGCAUCGGCUAACUCCGUGCCAGCAGCCGCGGUAAUACGGGGGAUGCGAGCGUUAUCCGGAUUUAUUGGGUUUAAAGGGUGCGUAGGCGGUCUGUUAAGUCAGCGGUAAAAGGCCGGGGCUCAACCCCGUCGCGCCGUUGAAACUGGCAGUCUCGAGUGGGCGAGAAGUAUGCGGAAUGCGUGGUGUAGCGGUGAAAUGCAUAGAUAUCGCGCAGAACUCCGAUUGCGAAGGCAGCAUGCCGGCUCCAAACUGACGCUGAGGCACGAAAGCGUGGGUAUCGAACAGGAUUAGAUACCCUUGUAGUC
This 459-nucleotide ribosomal RNA is filed under the name uncultured bacterium. RNAcentral's name for it is "partial 16S ribosomal RNA". It matches the Rfam family "Bacterial small subunit ribosomal RNA", at positions 338 to 795 of the family's 1533-position model. The record is from RNAcentral.